This 253-nucleotide ribosomal RNA is filed under the name uncultured bacterium. Its description in RNAcentral is "partial 16S ribosomal RNA". It matches the Rfam family "Bacterial small subunit ribosomal RNA", at positions 524 to 776 of the family's 1533-position model. The record is from RNAcentral.
UACAGAGGUCUCAAGCGUUGUCCGGAAUCAUUGGGCGUAAAGCGCGCGUAGGUGGCCUCAUAAGUCCGCUGUGAAAGUCAAAGGCUCAACCUUUGAAAGCCGGUGGAUACUGUGAGGCUAGAGUACGGAAGAGGCGAGUGGAAUUCCUGGUGUAGCGGUGGAAUGCGCAGAUAUCAGGAGGAACACCAAUAGCGAAGGCAGCUCGCUGGGACGUUACUGACACUGAGGCGCGAAAGCGUGGGGAGCGAACAGG